RNAcentral lists this ribosomal RNA (253 nucleotides) under uncultured bacterium. RNAcentral's name for it is "partial 16S ribosomal RNA". It matches the Rfam family "Bacterial small subunit ribosomal RNA", at positions 524 to 776 of the family's 1533-position model. The record is from RNAcentral.
UACGUAGGGGGCAAGCGUUGUCCGGAUUUAUUGGGCGUAAAGAGCGUGUAGGCGGCCAGACAGGUCAGCUGUGAAAACUCGAGGCUCAACCUCGAGACGUCGGUUGAAACCGUAUGACUAGAGUCCGGAAGAGGAGAGUGGAAUUCCUGGUGUAGCGGUGAAAUGCGCAGAUAUCAGGAGGAACACCGAUGGCGAAGGCAGCUCGCUGGGACGGUACUGACGCUGAGACGCGAAAGCGUGGGGAGCAAACAGG